Molecule: ribosomal RNA, 375 nt
Filed under: uncultured bacterium
Lineage: Bacteria
Description: bacterial SSU rRNA
Rfam family: Bacterial small subunit ribosomal RNA
Source: RNAcentral
UAAUACGAAGGGGGCGAGCGUUGUUCGGAAUUACUGGGCGUAAAGGGCGCGCAGGCGGCCUUAGAAGUCAGAUGUGAAAGCCCCGGGCUCAACCUGGGAAUGGCAUUUGAUACUCUGAGGCUGGAGUACGGGAGAGGAGAGUGGAAUUCCCAGUGUAGAGGUGAAAUUCGUAGAUAUUGGGAAGAACACCGGUGGCGAAGGCGGCUCUCUGGACCGUAACUGACGCUGAGGCGCGAAAGCGUGGGGAGCAAACAGGAUUAGAUACCCUGGUAGUCCACGCCGUAAACGAUGUGCGCUAGACGUUGGAGGACCUAGUCCUCCGGUGUCGCAGCCAACGCGAUAAGCGCACCGCCUGGGGAGUACGGCCGCAAGGUU